Molecule: non-coding RNA, 24 nt
Filed under: Drosophila erecta
Lineage: Eukaryota; Metazoa; Arthropoda; Insecta; Diptera; Drosophilidae
Also listed under: 1 other name
Source: RNAcentral
UUAAAGAGCUUGGUUAUGUAGCGA